Molecule: non-coding RNA, 1250 nt
Organism: Chiloscyllium plagiosum (whitespotted bambooshark)
Lineage: Eukaryota; Metazoa; Chordata; Chondrichthyes; Orectolobiformes; Hemiscylliidae
Source: RefSeq, a predicted model, not a curated record
AAAUUGCCACCCAGAUCAGUGCAGUGUCCACAGUGGGGACAAACACCCAGUAAUGUUGCAACAUGGCUAAUGACCUUCUAUGCUCCGUGAGGGAAAUGACCACCAUCUUCUCUCUAGGAAUAGGAGUAGGCCAGUCAGCCCCUCAAGCCUGUUCUGUCAUUCAGUGAGUUCAUGGCUGCUCUGUGGCCCAACUCCAUAUUUCUGCCUUUGGCCCAUAUCCCUUAAUAAUGGUGCUUGAUAAAAAAAAAAAACUAUCUCAUAUUGAAAACUAGGAACUGAUCCAGCAUCUACUGCCAUUUUUGGAGGAGCAUUCCAAACCUCUACCACCCUUUGCAUGUAGAAAUGCUUCCUAACUUCUCUCCUGAAAGGUCAGGCUCAAAUUCUCAGGCUACACCCCUAGUUCCAGAAUCACUAACCAGUGGAAUAGUUAUCAUAAUCAAUCCUUUCUUUUGUUGAUAAUUUGAAGACUUUCUACAGAAAACCCCAUAUUCCUGCAAACUCUGCCAGUGCACCCUCCCACCAAGGCUCUCAUCACCACUAUUGCUGGAACAUCUUCUCUCAUUCACUCUCACUGCCCCAAAGCCCCACACUACUAAUCUUGCAUGCUUGCUAUGCUGCCUACUGACUCGGAAUAUCAAAUCACAUUGCCCCCACACCCCCUCCCAACAUACCACCAUUCCUGGCAGCUACUUUAUUCUCAUUCCAUCCCUCUUUUUGUCUUAUUCCAGAAGAAAACAGCCAUAAUUGUACCAAAGACAGCCAAGAUGGUUGAUAGGAUGCCCAACAUCUUUCUCCAUCAAGAUCUUUGCUUUCAUGGGAGAAAUUGCUCAGGCGGUGAAGCCAGGAUGUCCAUGUUCCCAGCAACCAAGGGCAGCCGUCUGGGCCUUGCUACUGUCGGAAAAGAUGCAUUGGCACUGUGGCUAAAGAUGGCUUAAAGCUGGCUUCCAUCCGGUACAUAAAGUGAAUGCAGUGUAAUAAGGAGGUAGAGCUGUCAAGGGUGAAAAUGAUGAGAGACAAAGAAGGUUUCAAAAUCCAACAAAGUACGAUCUGCUUCUUCUGUUUAUUAAUCAUGAGAACUCCAAAUACUUCAUUAAAAUGGUCAGAUGCAACCAGACCUGUUGAGUUUCCCCAGCAAUUUGUGUUUUCGUUAAAGGAAGGACCUCUCAGCAUGCCUCAAGAUCUUCUCAUCAGAUCAGAAAGGAAGGUGCUGAAGGUGAGGUGUAAAUCCAAAAUGAAAACCAAAAGAAUCA